This 442-nucleotide ribosomal RNA is filed under the name uncultured bacterium. RNAcentral's name for it is "partial 16S ribosomal RNA". It matches the Rfam family "Bacterial small subunit ribosomal RNA", at positions 338 to 795 of the family's 1533-position model. The record is from RNAcentral.
CCUACGGGAGGCAGCAGUGGGGAAUAUUGGGCAAUGGGCGCAAGCCUGACCCAGCAACGCCGCGUGAAGGAAGACGGCUUUCGGGUUGUAAACUUCUUUUAAGAGGGAAGAGCAGACCACGGUCCCUCUUGUAUAAGCCACGGCUAACUACGUGCCAGCAGCCGCGGUAAUACGUAGGUGGCAAGCGUUGUCCGGAUUUACUGGGUGUAAAGGGCGUGUAGCCGGGCUGACAAGUCAGAUGUGAAAUUCCGGGGCUCAACCCCGGAACUGCAUUUGAAACUGUUGGUCUUGAGUAUCGGAGAGGCAGGCGGAAUUCCUAGUGUAGCGGUGAAAUGCGUAGAUAUGAGGAGGAACACCAGUGGCGAAGGCGGCCUGCUGGACGACAACUGACGGUGAGGCGCGAAAGCGUGGGGAGCAAACAGGAUUAGAUACCCGUGUAGUC